This 375-nucleotide ribosomal RNA is filed under the name Triticum aestivum (bread wheat). RNAcentral's name for it is "partial small subunit ribosomal RNA". The record is from RNAcentral. Lineage: Eukaryota; Viridiplantae; Streptophyta; Magnoliopsida; Poales; Poaceae.
AUGGGGAGAUUCUGUCUCAGGUAUGAAAGGUAUUGGAUAAUACUAGUGGUAUGUUUGCUUUAUCACAUAAGGCAGCAAAUGGUUUGCUGUUGUACUCUUAUGAGAAGUUUAAUGCUUUUGUUAUCCAUGCUGACUAGUGCUCGGUUUACCAAUGUUCCUAUCUGGAUUUGGCUUGUAACUGGUUCCUUGGGAGCUUCAGUGGAUUGCGUUAUUUUGUCCGAGUUAUAUUUGGGAUCCAUGUUUCUGCGUUGGUCUGAUGGUAAAAGUCCUGUCAUGAUAGUGGCCUUUGGUGCUGUUCUUGUAUUGCAUCGCUGUGGUUAUUGGAAUUGCGGUCUUGAUGUCAAGGAUGUUGAAGAACUACAGCUCUUUAUUUAG